GCUGAGCUUGGUAACUCAAGCUUGUAACUCAAGUGAGGGCAUUAAGGUGAUGUGAACAAAACUAAAACAAAUGGUGAAGUCUCAUGUGGGUGUUAUAUGGACAAGCAUAGAUACUGGCUUGUUGUUUAGCAGUAGGAAGAGUUUGGUUUAGAAGAUGCUCAUGUGUAGCACAUACCUCUUGCUGUCUUCACAGAGCAGCGGCACUUCCUCUUGCUCUCUCAAAGACCACGUUGCUAACAAGUCCAAAAUCCAAUCCAAAAUGUACUUCCCAUAGUUUGGACCAUCACCUUU
RNAcentral lists this non-coding RNA (291 nucleotides) under Solanum tuberosum (potato). Lineage: Eukaryota; Viridiplantae; Streptophyta; Magnoliopsida; Solanales; Solanaceae. The record is from RNAcentral.